Molecule: long non-coding RNA, 1517 nt
Organism: Mastomys coucha (southern multimammate mouse)
Lineage: Eukaryota; Metazoa; Chordata; Mammalia; Rodentia; Muridae
Exons: 2
Source: RefSeq, a predicted model, not a curated record
UGGAGGGUGGUGGGCACACCCAAGAUUCUCUUCUCACUGUGCCAUCCUGGUUUGCUCUCCUUUCACAGCCUUUAAAUAUAACUUGCUGUGCCCACUUGAUACGUCAGCUUUACCCUGCCAGGCAGCCCACGCCCUGAGGGUAGGGGCCAGAGUGAAGGCCAUACCUAGCACACACAAGGCACCGAAUGGACUUUUGGUAAAUGAGCAUAAACUUGCAUGUCUUUGGCUUUCACGGAUCACACAUCUAGACUACAAGCUCCACCGAAGGUGGGGCUGUCUCUACCUGCUUCUGUAUCCUUAGACACCAUAGAAGACAUGGCUGUUGGGAGGUCUUCAGUGCAAAGCUACCGAACUAAUACAGGAUGCAAUGCGUUAGCAGUCCUCCAGCUUGGCGGUCCUCCAGCUGGUGCUCCUGCCAUCCUGCUCCAACAAGAGGACACAGUGAAUCAAUCAUUCCCAAGCUUCUCAGUACAGGAAAUGAGAAAGGCUUGUCUCCAGCACCUAACCUGGAAAGAUACAGAGCUUUCACUUCUGUUAUGUUAAACCCAGAAGAUUUAAGCUACGAGGGCAGUAACACAAAGUGGGCUGCACCUUCCGCUUUACCGACUUGUAUCUAUUUGUAUCUACUUAUGCACUUGUGUCUAUUUGUAUCUAUUUGUGUCUUUUAACUGGUUUUGUUUAACUUUCGGACUUUUUAACGCUACCCAGUGACCAGGAAAUUUUAAGUCUCCUGGGCAAUUAAACAUUCUGGACUUUUUCCCUUUUCAAUUUCCCUACAAUUACAAAAAGUAAAACGAUAGGAUGUGCACCUCCCAACUGGUGCAGCUGUACCAGUGCUCACUCUGCAUGUCUGUGAGGCACGCACGCAGCCUUAGGGGUCAGAGAAGCUUCUUGGUGCAGUGGGAAGGCCAGUGCGGAUUCAUCCAAGUGCCACGAAGGAGUGGCCGAGUGCUCAGCCUCAGAUGGAAUCUCUAAAUCAGUGUGUGCUCCCACCCCUGGCCCAGGGAGCAUCAAGGAAGAAGGGAUGGAAAGAAUGUAGCCUGGGGUGGAGAAGUGGGGAAUGUUGUAAACGACCCAGCCAUCACAGGCAUGAACGGACAGGUAUGGCUACCUGUUACAAGCAUGAACCCAUGGGUAUGGUUACCUGCAUACCCACGGGUAUGGUUACCUGCAUAAGACCUGUUAAGGAUCAAGGCAACCAAAAGUCUAGCAUGGAUGAGGAAGGGCUCACAAGGCCCAAGUGUGAAGAGGGAAGGCUCCUUUUUCCUCAAGGAUGUGGUGACUGAUAGCUCACCCAAUCCCUCUAUCUAUUCAGUCAGCACUAAUUGGCCUCAGUGGUUGGUUAAUGAGGGCUGGGGAGGACCGUAUAGAAAGGGAACAUUGAAGGGAAGUGUUGGGUGUUUUCAGGGGAAGUUGGAAAGGUAAGCAUGAGGCAUGAUCAAGAUAUGUUUUGUAUGCAUGUAUGAUCUCAUUUCUGACAUAUUUCAGAAUAAAGGCCAUCAAAGAAUCUCCCAUAA